ACGGGUGAGUAACGCGUGGGAAUCUACCGUGCCCUGCGGAAUAGCUCCGGGAAACUGGAAUUAAUACCGCAUACGCCCUACGGGGGAAAGAUUUAUCGGGGUAUGAUGAGCCCGCGUUGGAUUAGCUAGUUGGUGGGGUAAAGGCCUACCAAGGCGACGAUCCAUAGCUGGUCUGAGAGGAUGAUCAGCCACAUUGGGACUGAGACACGGCCCAAACUCCUACGGGAGGCAGCAGUGGGGAAUAUUGGACAAUGGGCGCAAGCCUGAUCCAGCCAUGCCGCGUGAGUGAUGAAGGCCUUAGGGUUGUAAAGCUCUUUCACCGGAGAAGAUAAUGACGGUAUCCGGAGAAGAAGCCCCGGCUAACUUCGUGCCAGCAGCCGCGGUAAUACAAAAGGGGCUAGCGUUGUUCGGAAUUACUGGGCGUAAAGCGCACGUAGGCGGAUAUUUAAGUCAGGGGUGAAAUCCCAGAGCUCAACUCUGGAAUGGCCCUUUGAUACUGGGUAUCUUGAGUAUGGAAGAGGUAAGUGGAAUUCCGAGUGUAGAGGUGAAAUUCGUAGA
This 558-nucleotide ribosomal RNA is filed under the name Rhizobium sp. StTD649. Its description in RNAcentral is "bacterial SSU rRNA". It matches the Rfam family "Bacterial small subunit ribosomal RNA", at positions 102 to 694 of the family's 1533-position model. The record is from RNAcentral. Lineage: Bacteria; Pseudomonadati; Pseudomonadota; Alphaproteobacteria; Hyphomicrobiales; Rhizobiaceae.